UACGGCGGCCAUAGCGGCAGGGAAACGCCCGGACCCAUCCCGAACCCGGAAGCUAAGCCUGCCAGCGCCGAUGAUACUACCCAACACGGGUGGAAAAGUAGGACACCGCCGAACACAAUUUA
This 122-nucleotide ribosomal RNA is filed under the name Mycobacterium sp. BK086. Lineage: Bacteria; Bacillati; Actinomycetota; Actinomycetes; Mycobacteriales; Mycobacteriaceae. The record is from RNAcentral.